RNAcentral lists this ribosomal RNA (636 nucleotides) under Amphinema aff. byssoides UC2022815. RNAcentral describes it as "eukaryotic LSU rRNA". The stretch from base 241 to 395 matches the Rfam family "5.8S ribosomal RNA". The record is from RNAcentral. Lineage: Eukaryota; Fungi; Basidiomycota; Agaricomycetes; Atheliales; Atheliaceae.
UCUUGGUCAUUUAGAGGAAGUAAAAGUCGUAACAAGGUUUCCGUAGGUGAACCUGCGGAAGGAUCAUUAUCGAAUUAUAAGCGAGGGUUGUAGCUGGCCUCCCUUUCGAGGCAUGUGCACGCCUGAGCUCUUAAAUCCACAACACACCUGUGAACCCACCGUAGGCCUUCGGGCUUAUGUAUCAUAUACUCUGAAUGUGUCAUAGAAUGUUCAUGUUGCCUUAAAAACGCAAUCAAAUACAACUUUCAACAACGGAUCUCUUGGCUCUCGCAUCGAUGAAGAACGCAGCGAAAUGCGAUAAGUAAUGUGAAUUGCAGAUUUUCAGUGAAUCAUCGAAUCUUUGAACGCACCUUGCGCUCCUUGGUAUUCCGAGGAGCAUGCCUGUUUGAGUGUCAUUAAAUCCUCAACCCCACCGAUUUGUUUCGGGGGGGAUUGGACUUGGAGUGUGCUGGCGAAGGUCGGCUCCUCUUUAAAUGCAUCUGUGGAGAAGAAACUUGCCCCAGUGUGAUAAUCCUGUUGCGCUGUGGUGGGUGAAAGUCUGCUUCCAACUGUCCUCCGGGACAGACAUCAUCUCAAUUUGACCUCAAAUCAGGUAGGACUACCCGCUGAACUUAAGCAUAUCAAUAAGCGGAGGAA